This 704-nucleotide ribosomal RNA is filed under the name uncultured bacterium. RNAcentral's name for it is "partial 16S ribosomal RNA". It matches the Rfam family "Bacterial small subunit ribosomal RNA", at positions 127 to 851 of the family's 1533-position model. The record is from RNAcentral.
UGCCCCCUCCCCCGGGAUAGCCGCCCGAAAGGACGGGUAAUACCGGAUACCCCGGGGUGCCGCAUGGCACCCCGGCUAAAGCCCCGACGGGAGGGGAUGGCUCCGCGGCCCAUCAGGUAGACGGCGGGGUGACGGCCCACCGUGCCGACAACGGGUAGCCGGGUUGAGAGACCGACCGGCCAGAUUGGGACUGAGACACGGCCCAGACUCCUACGGGAGGCAGCAGUGGGGAAUCUUGCGCAAUGGGGGGAACCCUGACGCAGCGACGCCGCGUGCGGGACGGAGGCCUUCGGGUCGUAAACCGCUUUCAGCAGGGAAGAGUCAAGACUGUACCUGCAGAAGAAGCCCCGGCUAACUACGUGCCAGCAGCCGCGGUAAUACGUAGGGGGCGAGCGUUAUCCGGAUUCAUUGGGCGUAAAGCGCGCGUAGGCGGCCCGGCAGGCCGGGGGUCGAAGCGGGGGGCUCAACCCCCCGAAGCCCCCGGAACCUCCGCGGCUUGGGUCCGGUAGGGGAGGGUGGAACACCCGGUGUAGCGGUGGAAUGCGCAGAUAUCGGGUGGAACACCGGUGGCGAAGGCGGCCCUCUGGGCCGAGACCGACGCUGAGGCGCGAAAGCUGGGGGAGCGAACAGGAUUAGAUACCCUGGUAGUCCCAGCCGUAAACGAUGGACGCUAGGUGUGGGGGGACGAUCCCCCCGUGCCGCAG